This 759-nucleotide ribosomal RNA is filed under the name Salmonella enterica. Its description in RNAcentral is "partial 23S ribosomal RNA". It matches the Rfam family "Bacterial large subunit ribosomal RNA", at positions 2044 to 2802 of the family's 2925-position model. Lineage: Bacteria; Pseudomonadati; Pseudomonadota; Gammaproteobacteria; Enterobacterales; Enterobacteriaceae. RNAcentral also lists the same sequence under 3 other names. The record is from RNAcentral.
GAACUCGCUGUGAAGAUGCAGUGUACCCGCGGCAAGACGGAAAGACCCCGUGAACCUUUACUAUAGCUUGACACUGAACAUUGAGCCUUGAUGUGUAGGAUAGGUGGGAGGCUUUGAAGUGUGGACGCCAGUCUGCAUGGAGCCGACCUUGAAAUACCACCCUUUAAUGUUUGAUGUUCUAACGUGGACCCGUAAUCCGGGUUGCGGACAGUGUCUGGUGGGUAGUUUGACUGGGGCGGUCUCCUCCUAAAGAGUAACGGAGGAGCACGAAGGUUGGCUAAUCCUGGUCGGACAUCAGGAGGUUAGUGCAAUGGCAUAAGCCAGCUUGACUGCGAGCGUGACGGCGCGAGCAGGUGCGAAAGCAGGUCAUAGUGAUCCGGUGGUUCUGAAUGGAAGGGCCAUCGCUCAACGGAUAAAAGGUACUCCGGGGAUAACAGGCUGAUACCGCCCAAGAGUUCAUAUCGACGGCGGUGUUUGGCACCUCGAUGUCGGCUCAUCACAUCCUGGGGCUGAAGUAGGUCCCAAGGGUAUGGCUGUUCGCCAUUUAAAGUGGUACGCGAGCUGGGUUUAGAACGUCGUGAGACAGUUCGGUCCCUAUCUGCCGUGGGCGCUGGAGAACUGAGGGGGGCUGCUCCUAGUACGAGAGGACCGGAGUGGACGCAUCACUGGUGUUCGGGUUGUCAUGCCAAUGGCACUGCCCGGUAGCUAAAUGCGGAAGAGAUAAGUGCUGAAAGCAUCUAAGCACGAAACUUGCCCCGA